RNAcentral lists this long non-coding RNA (472 nucleotides) under Oncorhynchus kisutch (coho salmon). RNAcentral's name for it is "lncRNA (ENSOKIG00005041181.1)". The record is from RNAcentral. Lineage: Eukaryota; Metazoa; Chordata; Actinopteri; Salmoniformes; Salmonidae.
UCUGGUUUAGGAACUGAUGUAGGAUCAGGACCCCCCCCCCCAUUCACAACGUGUCUCAGAGUAGGACUGCUGAUGUAAGGUCAGGACCCCUAUUCACAAUGUGUCUCAGAGUAGGACUGCUGAUCAGGACCCCCAUUCACAAUGUGUCUCAGAGUAGGACUGCUGAUCAGGACCCCCAUUCACAACGUGUCUCAGAGUAGGACUGCUGAUCAGGACCCCCAUUCACAAUGUGUACUGUUACUGAGAGUGUGAAUAUGGGACCUGAUCCUAGAUCCAGUUCUGUUCUGUUACUCUGAGACUGUUUGUGAAUAUGGGACCUGAUCCUAGAUCCAGUUCUGUUACUCUGAGACUGUUUGUGAAUAUGGGGCCUGAUCCUAGAUCCAGUUCUGUUACUCUGAGACUGUUUGUGAAUAUGGGACCUGAUCCUAGAUCCAGUUCUGUUCUGUUACUCUGAGACUGUUUGUGAAUAUGG